RNAcentral lists this unclassified non-coding RNA (1546 nucleotides) under Daphnia magna. Its description in RNAcentral is "uncharacterized LOC116918434, transcript variant X5". The record is from RNAcentral. Lineage: Eukaryota; Metazoa; Arthropoda; Branchiopoda; Diplostraca; Daphniidae.
ACAACUAUUGUGUCGGCGCUUAUCGAGAUUUCCAUUCAUUGAAGCAGUUGGAUUGAGUCCGGCAUACUUGGAGGAGCAUAAACGUGUGCUGCACAUACCACUUCAUCAUCUUCCAGUCGCUGCACUAGCUUUUGUUGAAGGUUUCUUCGGGAACAAGAACGCCAGCGGCGCCAAUGUGGGCGGUCCCACGGUUCCACGGCCCCACCUCCGCAGGUCGCAUGAUCCAGCAGUGAUGAACAACUGUCUGUGGCUUUUACCGAGAUGUCUGGCGCUUAUUGAAGCAGUACUUGGCAUUGGUACAGCAUACUUGGAGGAGCAUAGGUCAGUGUGCUGCACGCAACACUUACAUCAUCUUCGAGUCGCUGUACUAGCAUUUGUCACAAAGAAGAUCGAGGUACACAGUUUUUCUGACGCCAUGACCAAGGAAGACCUGAGGGCACCGACUGUCAAAAUGUCUAGCUACUGGAACCGGCAAAUCUGUUUGGCGUGCUUUACGUUGGUUUUAAUGGCGGCGGGGUUUGCGGCUGUCUACUGUGGAGUAAAAUUUGGGUUGACCGGUGAAAACGGAUUAGAUGGGGUGAAUGUCACGUCUGUUGAGGAUGGUGUUUCGGUUACCCCACGUCCCGCAGAAAUCAAUCCGUCAACGCCCUUCACAACAAAUUUCACGCAACUUGAAAACAAUUCAACAACACAUUCCAAUGAAAACGUGCCCUACGUCACAGACAUACCUGCGUCAUCGUCCACUCAAUGUAUUCCACGUAACGAAACCUUCUGCAGCAAUCACAUCAAUUACACCCAUACGUUUUAUCCAAAUUUUGCGGGAGACAAGUCCGAACAUGAUUUCCUUGGUAGCUGGGCAUUCCUCCAGACCAUCAUCGAUUCCCUUUGUCACCCAAGGAUUGAAGAAUUUAUCUGCCUAGCAGCACAACCUGAAUGUCGUCUAGAUGGCAAAAGCAUAGGUCCCUGUCGUAAACUUUGCCACGAAAUUGCAAACGCCUGCGAUCCUUAUUUUUGGUCUGUAUUGGAAAAAGAGAAAAUCCUGUUCAACUGCGACGAGCAAUACGUUGACUCGACCGAUCAGAAUUUGUGCCUUAGUUAAGUGCCCAUCACGUCAGGCUACGUCAGUGUCGAAAUCUAGUAAUUUAAAUUAAUUCUUGACCAUUACCGGAAAGAAGAAAUCAUCAUUUUGAAUAAGGCAUGAAGAAAAGACAACAAUCUGGUUUACAAGUAGCACAAGUUGGAGGGCAUAAAGUACUUGAUAACAUUCCUGCCAUGAUUGACUUUCAAUCCAUGGCAGAAGUUCCUGGGAACACAUCACAUAAUUUUCACCACACUAACUGAUUUUUCCAUUCAUUUAACUAUUAUUACAUUUCUGAAUUCCUAUCUCUACUUAAGUGACCUUCUACUUUUCUUCCGUUGUGCCUUUUUGUGUCCCCCAUCCCAAGUCUUAUGAGACCUCGUUUCCGUUACGAUUUUCAUAGCUGUAGAAAUGGCGCCAAGAAUGUUCAUCUUUUUUGAAAAAUAAACAAGAACAUUACCUUUCCUU